AGUCGUAACAAGGUUUCCGUAGGUGAACCUGCGGAAGGAUCAUUACCUAGAGUUUGUAGACUUCGGUCUGCUACCUCUUACCCAUGUCUUUUGAGUACCUUCGUUUCCUCGGCGGGUCCGCCCGCCGAUUGGACAACAUUCAAACCCUUUGCAGUUGCAAUCAGCGUCUGAAAAAACAUAAUAGUUACAACUUUCAACAACGGAUCUCUUGGUUCUGGCAUCGAUGAAGAACGCAGCGAAAUGCGAUAAGUAGUGUGAAUUGCAGAAUUCAGUGAAUCAUCGAAUCUUUGAACGCACAUUGCGCCCCUUGGUAUUCCAUGGGGCAUGCCUGUUCGAGCGUCAUUUGUACCUUCAAGCUCUGCUUGGUGUUGGGUGUUUUGUCUCGCCUCUGCGUGUAGACUCGCCUUAAAACAAUUGGCAGCCGGCGUAUUGAUUUCGGAGCGCAGUACAUCUCGCGCUUUGCACUCAUAACGGCGACGUCCAAAAGUACAUUUUUACACUCUUGACCUCGGAUCAGGUAGGGAUACCCGCUGAACUUAAGCAUAUCAAUAAGUCG
This 556-nucleotide ribosomal RNA is filed under the name uncultured fungus. RNAcentral describes it as "eukaryotic LSU rRNA". The stretch from base 189 to 342 matches the Rfam family "5.8S ribosomal RNA". Lineage: Eukaryota; Fungi. The record is from RNAcentral.